CAGUAGCCGCGGGAAUACGAAGGGGGCUAGCGUUGCUCGGAAUGACUGGGCGUAAAGGGCGCGUAGGCGGCGAUCAAAGUCAGGCGUGAAAUUCCUGGGCUCAACCUGGGGGCUGCGCUUGAUACUUGGUUGCUUGAGUGGGGAAGAGGGUCGUGGAAUUCCCAGUGUAGAGGUGAAAUUCGUAGAUAUUCGGAAGAACACCAGUGGCGAAGGCGGCUCACUGGCUCAUUCUAGACGCUGAGGUGCGAAAGCGUGGGGAGCAAACAGGAUUAGAUACCCCUGUAGUCCCUGUCUCUUAUAC
Molecule: ribosomal RNA, 301 nt
Filed under: uncultured bacterium
Lineage: Bacteria
Description: partial 16S ribosomal RNA
Rfam family: Bacterial small subunit ribosomal RNA
Source: RNAcentral